This 73-nucleotide transfer RNA is filed under the name Bacteroidales bacterium. RNAcentral's name for it is "tRNA-Pro". It matches the Rfam family "tRNA". From Rfam's summary of the family: Transfer RNA (tRNA) molecules are approximately 80 nucleotides in length. Their secondary structure includes four short double-helical elements and three loops (D, anti-codon, and T loops). Further hydrogen bonds mediate the characteristic L-shaped molecular structure. tRNAs have two regions of fundamental functional importance: the anti-codon, which is responsible for specific mRNA codon recognition, and the 3' end, to which the tRNAs corresponding amino acid is attached (by aminoacyl-tRNA synthetases). tRNAs cope with the degeneracy of the genetic code in two manners: having more than one tRNA (with a specific anti-codon) for a particular amino acid; and 'wobble' base-pairing, i.e. permitting non-standard base-pairing at the 3rd anti-codon position. The record is from RNAcentral. Lineage: Bacteria; Pseudomonadati; Bacteroidota; Bacteroidia; Bacteroidales. RNAcentral also lists the same sequence under 1 other name.
CGAGAUGUAGCGCAGUUGGUAGCGCACUACGUUCGGGACGUAGGGGUCGUCCGUUCGAGUCGGAUCAUCUCGA